GUUUGGUUUGAUACGGGUGGUCGGCUCCCUGCUUGAGCAGGCACGGCCACGCGUGCAUUCCUUUUCAGCUGUGCGACAAGGCUUGUAUCGUCUUGAUCGUAUAAGUGGGUUUCCUGUGUUGCAUACCUGAUCGAUGGCAUCGUCUUGAUCAAAAGUGUGUAUUUUUCGUCUGGCAAUGCACUUGCAUUGUCGGAUGAACCACGUAGCAUCCUCUUUGAUCCAUACAGUUGACGUGCUUUCGUUGAUUGUUUGGCCCAUUGAGCGGUGACUCGGUCUCUCGGAUAUGGAAGCCAAAGUGGGCAUGGGGUCGUAAGAUCUCUUUAUUGUCCUCACUGAGCGUUCUCACUUCUCUUACACGACCGCCUUUCACGUAUGGCACGUCUCAGCGUGUUUGGCUACGUGGAAGAGGAAUGUUGGGCGUUCUUGCUUUUCUUACACGACUGCCUUUCACGUAUGGCAUGUCCCAGCGUGU
Molecule: unclassified non-coding RNA, 472 nt
Filed under: Euthamia leptocephala
Lineage: Eukaryota; Viridiplantae; Streptophyta; Magnoliopsida; Asterales; Asteraceae
Description: partial external transcribed spacer
Source: RNAcentral